GACGAACGCUGGCGGCGUGCCUAAUACAUGCAAGUAGAACGCUGAAGGAGGAGCUUGCUUCUCUGGAUGAGUUGCGAACGGGUGAGUAACGCGUAGGUAACCUGCCUGGUAGCGGGGGAUAACUAUUGGAAACGAUAGCUAAUACCGCAUAAGAGUAGAUGUUGCAUGACAUUUGCUUAAAAGGUGCAAUUGCAUCACUACCAGAUGGACCUGCGUUGUAUUAGCUAGUUGGUGAGGUAACGGCUCACCAAGGCGACGAUACAUAGCCGACCUGAGAGGGGGAUCGGCCACACUGGGACUGAGACACGGCCCAGACGCCUACGGGAGGCAGCAGUAGGGAAUCUUCGGCAAUGGACGGAAGUCUGACCGAGCAACGCCGCGUGAGUGAAGAAGGGUUUCGGAUCGUAAAGCUCUGUUGUAAGAGAAGAACGAGUGUGAGAGUGGAAAGUUCACACUGUGACGGUAGCUUACCAGAAAGGGACGGCUAACUACGUG
RNAcentral lists this ribosomal RNA (495 nucleotides) under uncultured bacterium. Its description in RNAcentral is "partial 16S ribosomal RNA". It matches the Rfam family "Bacterial small subunit ribosomal RNA", at positions 28 to 507 of the family's 1533-position model. The record is from RNAcentral.